Molecule: ribosomal RNA, 301 nt
Filed under: uncultured bacterium
Lineage: Bacteria
Description: partial 16S ribosomal RNA
Rfam family: Bacterial small subunit ribosomal RNA
Source: RNAcentral
CAGUAGCCGCGGUAAUACGUAGGUGGCAAGCGUUGUCCGGAAUUAUUGGGCGUAAAGGGCUCGCAGGCGGUUUCUUAGGUCUGAUGUGAAGGCCCCCGGCUCAACCGGGGAGGGUCAUUGGAAACUGGGAAACUUGAGUGCAGAAGAGGAGAGUGGAAUUCCACGUGUAGCGGUGAAAUGCGUAGAGAUGUGGAGGAACACCAGUGGCGAAGGCGACUCUCUGGUCUGUAACUGACGCUGAGGAGCGAAAGCGUGGGGAGCGAACAGGAUUAGAUACCCGACUAGUCCCUGUCUCUUAUAC